Ictalurus furcatus (blue catfish) is the source of this 1229-nucleotide long non-coding RNA. RefSeq lists it as uncharacterized. The transcript is spliced from 3 exons. The record is from RefSeq and is a predicted model, not a curated record. NCBI's taxonomy places the organism in Eukaryota, Metazoa, Chordata, Actinopteri, Siluriformes, Ictaluridae.
UAGAGCCUUGCGUGUUGCCAUGCCAACACACAACAGCAAGAGCAAAAUAUAACACUGGGCUGUGUGAGGCAAGAACAUGAAUCUGUCACUACAGUGGGUACAGGUUCACCCAAACCUGACAGUUAAAGUUUGGAAAAACAUUGCCUGGUCUGCCGCAUGAUUGGCUGUUUGGAUAAUUGCAUGAAUGAGCAGGUGUAUAGGUGUCCCUAAUAAAGUGGCCUACGUGCGUUGCUGUAUUCUGACGUCGUCUUUAUUUGGAAGCAUCUGGGACUUGACUCUGAGGAGACAUGAAGAGCAAACCCUCACAACCACUAAGAGCUUGGCUUUUCAGCUUAAAUAAAGGCACAGCUAGGGGUGACAACCCACCGCAGGGCACGAUCACGCACACAUUCACACACUAUGGAAAAGCCAUCCAGCCUACAAGACAUUUCUUUGGACGGUGGGAGGAAACUGGGGUGCCUGGAGGAAACCCCCAAAGAACGUGGCGAGCAAACUCCGUGCACACAGAGCAGAAGACGGAUUCGAAACCCAAACCGCAACGCAUCGAGGCAAGCGUGCUAACCACUAAGCCACCCUUCACUACAUAAAAAGAUUUUUAAAACCUGUUUAGUGAAACGUCAGGUCUAAUGAUAGUCAAUAAAUGUUUAUGUGUAUCGUUUGAAUGAAUUCUUCAGUCACACAUAUUUGCAAAAGUAGCGCUAAAAUUGUCUAAUUCAUCCUUUUCAGAAAUGGAACAAUUUUUUUCCCCAGAUUAAUUUGUGCUUAUUUGUUACCAGUAACCAGAAUUAUUUUUGGAGCGCUCCAGUGUUGGAAAGUUGUCAAAACUCCAAAGAGCAGCUUUGGUAAGAUUUCCUCUCAGGCUUGUCUCAUCCUAAGAGCUUUAUUGUUAAAAGCUGUAGUUUUACAUUUGUAUUAUAUAGUCACAUAUUUUAAGCAGGGUGUUAAACAUGAUGACUUAGUGGUCAGCACGUUUGCUUCGCAACUCCGGGGUUGGGGGAUCGAUUCCUACCUCCGCCCUGAGCCCUGGGGUUUCCUCUAGGUACUCUGGUUUAAUCCUCCCAGUCCAAAAGACAUGCACUGUAGGGUGAUUGGCAUCUCUAAAUUGUCCAUAGUGUGUGAAUGAGUGUGAUUAUGCCCUGGACGAGGGUGCUAACCCAUCACGUGGGGAAAAAGCUGUCCCCCACCUUAUGCUCCAAGUCCCCGGGGAUAGGCUCCAGGCUCCCCCACAA